Molecule: ribosomal RNA, 427 nt
Filed under: uncultured bacterium
Lineage: Bacteria
Description: partial 16S ribosomal RNA
Rfam family: Bacterial small subunit ribosomal RNA
Source: RNAcentral
GUGAGGAAUCUUCCACAAUGGGCGAAAGCCUGAUGGAGCAACGCCGCGUGAAGGAUGAAGAUCUUCGGAUUGUAAACUUCUUUUAUGAGUGAAGAAUAUGACGGUAACUCAUGAAUAAGCACCGGCUAACUACGUGCCAGCAGCCGCGGUCAUACGUAGGGUGCAAGCAUUAUCCGGAGUGACUGGGCGUAAAGGGUUGCGUAGGCGGUUAUGUAAGCGAAUAGUGAAACCUGGUGGCUCAACCACACAGACUAUUAUUCGAACUGCAUAACUCGAGAAUGGUAGAGGUAACUGGAAUUUCUUGUGUAGGAGUGAAAUCCGUAGAUAUAAGAAGGAACACCAAUGGCGUAGGCAGGUUACUGGGCCAUUUCUGACGCUAAGGCACGAAAGCGUGGGGAGCGAACCGGAUUAGAAACCCCAGUAGUCC